This 201-nucleotide long non-coding RNA is filed under the name Elaeis guineensis (African oil palm). RNAcentral describes it as "long non-coding RNA (EGUI_LNC015909)". Lineage: Eukaryota; Viridiplantae; Streptophyta; Magnoliopsida; Arecales; Arecaceae. The record is from RNAcentral.
CCCGAGUGUCCUUUUUUUGAGCUUUUUUCGUACUUCAUCCACACCCUAAGGCCGAGGGUUGGUGGUUCUUUAGUCUGAGAAAGGGUCUGUCCUUCAUUACCGAUCUUCUUUCUUCCAUCCAUGUCUGUCCUUCAUUACUGAUCUUCUUUCUUCCAUCCAUGGAUGGAAGAAUUAAUUCUUUUUUGUUUCUUCCUUUUUGAU